This is a long non-coding RNA of Pipistrellus kuhlii (Kuhl's pipistrelle), 176 nucleotides long. RefSeq lists it as uncharacterized. The record is from RefSeq and is a predicted model, not a curated record. The transcript is spliced from 2 exons. NCBI's taxonomy places the organism in Eukaryota, Metazoa, Chordata, Mammalia, Chiroptera, Vespertilionidae.
GGAGGCAGGAGAGCGGGGCAGAAAGUGCAGAAGGCCGGAGCCCACAGCGCUGGGAGCUGUCCCUGCUCUAGGCCGGUUCCCAGGGCCAUCUCCCCGCAGGGAGCUCCGGGGCGGGGCCUCUGAGCUACUUACCUGACCCUCAGGCCCCCUCCCGUCUCCAGGGCAGAGAUCAGAAG